GAGCGGUUUCGAUGAAGUUUUCGGAUGGAAUUGAAAUUGACUUAGCGGCGGACGGGUGAGUAACGCGUGGGUAACCUGCCUUACACUGGGGGAUAACAGUUAGAAAUGACUGCUAAUACCGCAUAAGCGCACAGGGCCGCAUGGUCUGGUGUGAAAAACUCCGGUGGUGUAAGAUGGACCCGCGUCUGAUUAGGUAGUUGGUGGGGUAACGGCCCACCAAGCCGACGAUCAGUAGCCGACCUGAGAGGGUGACCGGCCACAUUGGGACUGAGACACGGCCCAAACUCCUACGGGAGGCAGCAGUGGGGAAUAUUGGACAAUGGGCGAAAGCCUGAUCCAGCGACGCCGCGUGAGUGAAGAAGUAUUUCGGUAUGUAAAGCUCUAUCAGCAGGGAAGAAAAUGACGGUACCUGACUAAGAAGCCCCGGCUAACUACGUGCCAGCAGCCGCGGUAAUACGUAGGGGGCAAGCGUUAUCCGGAUUUACUGGGUGUAAAGGGAGCGUAGACGGUUAAGCAAGUCUGAAGUGAAAGCCCGGGGCUCAACCCCGGUACUGCUUUGGAAACUGUUUGACUUGAGUGCAGGAGAGGUAAGUGGAAUUCCUAGUGUAGCGGUGAAAUGC
RNAcentral lists this ribosomal RNA (620 nucleotides) under uncultured bacterium. RNAcentral describes it as "bacterial SSU rRNA". It matches the Rfam family "Bacterial small subunit ribosomal RNA", at positions 64 to 689 of the family's 1533-position model. The record is from RNAcentral.